Molecule: long non-coding RNA, 380 nt
Filed under: Gallus gallus (chicken)
Lineage: Eukaryota; Metazoa; Chordata; Aves; Galliformes; Phasianidae
Description: lncRNA (ENSGALG00010010159.1)
Source: RNAcentral
CCCCAUUAAUGACCCCCCUAAUUAACGACCCCCCUAAUGAAGUAAUUAAUGACCCGUAGGGCUGCCUGGCCCCGGUGCGGGUGCUCCUUCCGGAAGGUUCCAUCCUCAGCCCGUCCCCGCAGGCGGCGGUGGUUGGGGGCAAUGUGCUGACAUCGCAGCGCAUCGUCGAUGUGGUGCUCAGAGCCUUCGGGGCCUGCGCGGCAUCGCAGGUACUGCCACAAAGGGAGCCAUUGGGGAGCCCCAUAGGGAGCCAGAGCCAUCCUGGUACUGCCACAAAGGGAGCCGUAGGGAGCCCCAUAGGGAGCCAGAGCCAUCCUGGUACUGCCACAAAGGGAGCCGUGGGGAGCCCCAUAGGGAGCCAGAGAGAAUCAGGUACUGCC